CGAACGAAACUUCUUUAUCACCGAGUGCUUGCACUCACCGGUAAAGGGUUGAGUGGCGAACGGGUGAGUAACACGUGGGCAACCUGCCCAAAAGAGGGGGAUAACACUUGGAAACAGGUGCUAAUACCGCAUAACCAUAGUUACCGCAUGGUAGCUAUGUAAAAGGUGGCUAUGCUACCGCUUUUGGAUGGGCCCGCGGCGCAUUAGCUAGUUGGUGGGGUAAAGGCUUACCAAGGCAAUGAUGCGUAGCCGAACUGAGAGGUUGAUCGGCCACAUUGGGACUGAGACACGGCCCAAACUCCUACGGGAGGCAGCAGUAGGGAAUCUUCCACAAUGGGCGAAAGCCUGAUGGAGCAACGCCGCGUGGGUGAAGAAGGUCUUCGGAUCGUAAAACCCUGUUGUUAGAGAAGAAAGUGCGUGAGAGUAACUGUUCACGUUUCGACGGUAUCUAACCAGAAAGCCACGGCUAACUACGUGCCAGCAGCCGCGGUAAUACGUAGGUGGCAAGCGUUAUCCGGAUUUAUUGGGCGUAAAGGGAACGCAGGCGGUCUUUUAAGUCUGAUGUGAAAGCCUUCGGCUUAACCGGAGUAGUGCAUUGGAAACUGGGAGACUUGAGUGCAGAAGAGGAGAGUGGAACUCCAUGUGUAGCGGUGAAAUGCGUAGAUAUAUGGAAGAACACCAGUGGCGAAAGCGGCUCUCUGGUCUGUAACUGACGCUGAGGUUCGAAAGCGUGGGUAGCAA
Molecule: ribosomal RNA, 741 nt
Filed under: uncultured bacterium
Lineage: Bacteria
Description: bacterial SSU rRNA
Rfam family: Bacterial small subunit ribosomal RNA
Source: RNAcentral